This 72-nucleotide transfer RNA is filed under the name Nitrososphaeria archaeon. Its description in RNAcentral is "tRNA-Pro". It matches the Rfam family "tRNA". Rfam says of the family: Transfer RNA (tRNA) molecules are approximately 80 nucleotides in length. Their secondary structure includes four short double-helical elements and three loops (D, anti-codon, and T loops). Further hydrogen bonds mediate the characteristic L-shaped molecular structure. tRNAs have two regions of fundamental functional importance: the anti-codon, which is responsible for specific mRNA codon recognition, and the 3' end, to which the tRNAs corresponding amino acid is attached (by aminoacyl-tRNA synthetases). tRNAs cope with the degeneracy of the genetic code in two manners: having more than one tRNA (with a specific anti-codon) for a particular amino acid; and 'wobble' base-pairing, i.e. permitting non-standard base-pairing at the 3rd anti-codon position. The record is from RNAcentral. Lineage: Archaea; Thermoproteati; Nitrososphaerota; Nitrososphaeria.
GGGCCGGUGGAGCAGUGGACGGUCGCCCGCCGCGGACGCGGGAGGUCGCGGGUUCAAAUCCCGCCCGGUCCA